GGGGGGGCAAGCGUUGUUCGGAAUUACUGGGCGUAAAGGGUUCGUAGGUGGCCUGCUAAGUCAGACGUGAAAUCCCUCAGCUUAACUGGGGAACUGCGUCUGAUACUGGUGGGCUUGAGUGCAGGAGAGGAACGCGGAAUUCCAGGUGUAGCGGUGAAAUGCGUAGAUAUCUGGAGGAACACCGGUGGCGAAGGCGGCGUUCUGGACUGCUACUGACACUGAUGAACGAAAGCCAGGGGAGCAAACGGGAUUAGAUACCCCGGUAGUCCUGGCCCUAAACGAUGAAUGCUUGGUGUGGCGGGUAUCGAUCCCUGCCGUGCCGAAGUUAACGCGUUAAGCAUUCCGCCUGGGGAGUACGGUCGCAAGGCUG
Molecule: ribosomal RNA, 370 nt
Filed under: uncultured organism
Description: bacterial SSU rRNA
Rfam family: Bacterial small subunit ribosomal RNA
Source: RNAcentral